UACGUAGGGUGCAAGCGUUAUCCGGAAUUAUUGGGCGUAAAGAGCUCGUAGGCGGUUUGUCGCGUCUGCUGUGAAAACUGGGGGGCUCAACCCCCCAGCCUGCAGUGGGUACGGGCAGACUAGAGUGCGGUAGGGGGAGAUUGGAAUUCCUGGUGUAGCGGUGGAAUGCGCAGAUAUCAGGAGGAACACCGAUGGCGAAGGCAGAUCUCUGGGCAUUAACUGACGCUGAGGAGCGAAAGCAUGGGGAGCGAACAGG
This 256-nucleotide ribosomal RNA is filed under the name uncultured bacterium. RNAcentral's name for it is "partial 16S ribosomal RNA". It matches the Rfam family "Bacterial small subunit ribosomal RNA", at positions 524 to 776 of the family's 1533-position model. The record is from RNAcentral.